Molecule: long non-coding RNA, 1751 nt
Organism: Mauremys mutica (yellowpond turtle)
Lineage: Eukaryota; Metazoa; Chordata; Testudines; Geoemydidae
Exons: 4
Source: RefSeq, a predicted model, not a curated record
GCCUGUUGAAUAAUAAAAAAGUGAUUUGUUAAAAUAAGUGGUGAAUUUGGUUAGCUGUUAUCUGUGGGCUUAUAAUUCAUUGUUCAUAGCCAAUAGAUAUUUGUGAAAAUGUUUGCAAAUCUUAAAAGUUUCCCUGAUUACUCAGCUGCAAAUUUGUGCCAGAAGCACAUUAAUCACUAUUUAUAUGUCGUCUUCUUGUUUUAAAUGAUUCAGUCAUCCAAUCAGGGAGCAUAAACUCUGCCAUGAUCACCCUCUGGGACCACAAUUCUCACUGGUUCUUCUCUCAGAAAUCUACCUAAAAGGCAAAGUUUGUAUGGCGAUAAGGCUUUCUUAGGGGAUGGCUCAGGAAUAGACUGGAAUCAUCUCCCACAGCAACUACCACAACCAAUUCAAAAGCAGGGUGCAUUUUUUUCAAUCUCAUUUUCCCUAAGGGGAAAAAAAUACCUAACACAUUAAUUUAUUAAAGAAAUACAAACAAAAUCUAUACCCACAAUAUCAAUACAAUUUUCCUUGGAGAAGAGGGGAUCAGAGGGGGAUGGAGAUCAACCUUUAGCCCCUUUAUUAAAUUUUCUGAUCCUGGAAGGUUCUCGGAUAACAUGCUGAUGAGCACAAUAUAAGAAACUGCCUGUGGUAAAUUGAGAAAACACCCACACAUGGAUAAUUGUUACCAGAAUAAUCAGAAUAAAAAAUAGAAUUACAACAGUUAUAGUUUAUUAAUGUGAACAAGAAUAAUUAGGUAUGAUUGAGAAAAUACAGACGCAUAUUCAACUAAUAUACUGUAUUAGACUCAAUCAUGUAAACCCUAACUAUUAGGCAUAGUGUGUCAUAGUAAGGGUUUGCAAGAUCACAGACCCUUAGGAGUUUAAAAUAUUAGGUUUCUAGGCUUCUUUUCCUGUUACCUAGUAAUUUAAAAUUCUGUUUGUGAAAGUGAAAGAAGAUGAGGACAGGUGGAGAUCUGUUCUGUAAGCUGCCACCUGAAAUGAAUUGGUUUGGUUUUGUUCGGGGUUGUUCUUUUUUUUUUUUGCCUGUGAAAAGCAAGCAUAAUUUAAAUAUUUCUUUUUUCUUUAAAACUUUCAACAGGGACUACAUAGCAGGCUGUGAAAACAACUGAGGAAUCUGAACCCACUAAAAAUGGCCCUGUUGUAGUUGUGAUGGAUUCCCCGCAGGGUGCCACUUGGAACUGGGAUACCACUGAACCCGUCUGACCUAUCACCCUGGGCUCCCCUUUCACACUGUGGCGCUGUGAUAAAUUACCACGCUCUCCAAGCUUCUUCUUUCACCAGCAUACAGGAAAAUUUUAAAAAAGAGGGGUGAGGACGGGAUGAAAAUGUUUAAAAGCAUGGAAAGACAUCCAUCUGAAGAGAAAUUGAAAAGAUGGACUGUUCAGUGAAGAGAUGAGAUCAGUAAACAGAUGUGAGAAAGAUGUAUGCACGCCCAGGCAAUGCGGGUGGAAUGGGAACUGCUAUUUUUUUUUUGAUCAAAUCUGGAUUUUGCAAUUAGAAAAAUGUACUCUCUCAAGGCAAAGGUUUAAUCAAACAUGAAAACUGCUUAGUACACUUGAAUGUAAUGGCUGAUUGGGCUGAACCAAGGAAAGGAGAAGCUACAGAACCUUGGCCUCACCAUGAUGAAAUUCUGCUCCCUGAUCAGACCUGACAUGAACAGAUCAAAAUAGAUGUUCCUGAUGGCAAACUGAACUGAUAUACAACAGCCGAUAUACGGCACAGCUAUAUUAAUGUGUAAUCAUCCAUAGG